GGGGGGCGCGGGCUAAUAACACAACAGAGUUUGAGAGACCGAUUGGUAGAAAUGCCGAAAAGGCUAAUCGAAAUAGAAAGGAUGGUGAUAAAGAUUUUGGGGAAUAUUUGGCAAAGAAAUUGCACUACACUGAAGAAGCACAUGAACAAGAAAAAGAGGCUUUUCGAAUCAAAGCGGAAAGGGUUUGAGUAGAUGAACAAAGAAUUGGUUUUGAAAAGGAAAGGGUUCAAAUUCAAAUGUUUAAAGAGGAUGAAAGAAUUGGGAUUGAAAAUGAAGGGUUUCGUAUUGAAAUGGAAAAGGAGGACAAAAAAAUAAUGAUGAUGGAUACAAGUGGCAUGACCGAAAUUCAAAGAACUUUUCUUGAAAAACGCCAAAAGGAAAUCAUUGCAAGACUAACUAGUGGUAAAUAGUUGGGUUUGACAUGUAGAUGAUGUCUUGUGCUUGUUUUUUGUACUAGCUUAUUUAGGCCUAGGUUUGGCACAUAUUGAUGAAGUCUUUGUUCCAACCUAAUUUUUUGUACUAGCUUAUUUUAGGCCUAGGUUUUGACACCUGUAAAUGAUGUCUUAUUCCAACUUAAUUUUUGGUACUAGCACUUUUUUUUUUUUUUUUUUUUUUUUUUCUUUUUUUGUAUUUUGUUAUGUACCAAAAAAGGUCUGGACUCUUAUGUGAUUUCUUGGUAUUUUCUAUUAUGCCACUUAUGUAAUCACAACAUUUUUGUGUUAUAUGAAAUGUUUAUGUAUUUUCUA
Quercus robur (English oak) is the source of this 746-nucleotide long non-coding RNA. RefSeq lists it as uncharacterized. The record is from RefSeq and is a predicted model, not a curated record. Lineage: Eukaryota; Viridiplantae; Streptophyta; Magnoliopsida; Fagales; Fagaceae. The transcript is spliced from 2 exons.